UGUAACAGCAACUCCAUGUGGAAGGUUUCAUCCCUUUUCCAGUGGGGCUGCUGUUAUUUU
RNAcentral lists this microRNA precursor (60 nucleotides) under Chrysemys picta bellii (western painted turtle). RNAcentral describes it as "Cpi-Mir-194-P4_pre stem-loop". It matches the Rfam family "mir-194 microRNA precursor family", at positions 14 to 72 of the family's 82-position model. Rfam says of the family: The hairpin precursors (represented here) are predicted based on base pairing and cross-species conservation -- their extents are not known. In this case the mature sequence is excised from the 5' arm of the hairpin. The record is from RNAcentral. Lineage: Eukaryota; Metazoa; Chordata; Testudines; Emydidae.